GGGGCUGUUGUUCAGUGGAAGAGUCCCUGCAGGCUGCUUUGCAUACAGGAGGUCCCAGGUUUGAACCCUGGUAUUUCCA
This 79-nucleotide transfer RNA is filed under the name Sphaerodactylus townsendi. RNAcentral describes it as "tRNA-Ala". Lineage: Eukaryota; Metazoa; Chordata; Lepidosauria; Squamata; Sphaerodactylidae. The record is from RNAcentral.